ACGCACGACCCCCGCGCAGAGCCAAAAGCCAAGAAAAACACGGCAAAAUCCGUGGUGGUAGUAGUAACAUUCUCGGCUCCCCGCGCGCGCGUAGAGCCCAAUCUCGUGGUCGUGGACCGCGGACGCGCGCGCGCGCGCGGCUAAAAUACGUCGGUUUCCGCGUCCUACUACCCACACGUCCAAAUCCCAUUCCUUUUUCUUCAUCUUUCUUUUUCUCCUCUUCUUCUUCUUCUCCUUCUCAUCCUGUGACGACGGCGACGAAGCUACCUGCCGCUGGUGAUGCUGUGUGAUGCUGUGGCUGCUUCAUUAAUUGGGGAAAGUCUGGUGGCCACACAGGUUAUCACACACGGGUGAAGGCUGAAGUGAACAAGCGUCGUGUGUCUCGAAAUACAAAGAGAUAAUGGAAUUGGAAGUAGCUAGAAAAAUUGUGGCAUGACAAAAAUCAAACAAGGGGUAGGUGCGAAAUUAAAGAGAUUAUCGCCUUCCGAGUGCCAGAAAUGUUGGAGAAGAAGUUAGAUACGAUCUACAUAGCCUGUAUAUAAAGGCACAAUGAUAAAGACAUUAUGAAUUAAUUAACUGGGGGAAAAAGGAUAGCUAUGCAUUAAUAUGCAUAUCUAAUUGGCAGCAUAUAGCUCAAUUGCCCAACGUGGGGCACUGAUCUGCUGCAAAUUACUAUUAUAUAUCCCUCUGACUCUAGGGAUUGCAUUGUCACACAUGGGGGCAAGGAUGCAACUGUUUGAACUAUUCAAUCAGAGAGCCAUCACGGAUCGUCUUAUAUAUUCAGGAACACCCGCAUGUGUUCUUGGCUCAGAGCACGCAUGCAUGCAUACAUGCAUGAAUGCUGCAAAUAGAUGUACAUCGAUUGUGAUUCAGCAGGGCAUGCUGUUCAUGUGCCGGAGGCUUGUCGGUCUAGUACAUAAUAAUGUGAAGAUGUAAAUGAUACAUGAUCCGGGAAAUAUAUGUAUGUGUUGCAGAGCUGCAAGAAACAA
Molecule: long non-coding RNA, 989 nt
Organism: Oryza sativa Japonica Group (Japanese rice)
Lineage: Eukaryota; Viridiplantae; Streptophyta; Magnoliopsida; Poales; Poaceae
Source: RefSeq, a predicted model, not a curated record